This 468-nucleotide ribosomal RNA is filed under the name uncultured bacterium. RNAcentral describes it as "partial 16S ribosomal RNA". It matches the Rfam family "Bacterial small subunit ribosomal RNA", at positions 28 to 507 of the family's 1533-position model. The record is from RNAcentral.
GACGAACGCUGGCGGCGUGCUUAACACAUGCCAGUCGAACGGAAAGGCCCUGCUUUUGUGGGGUGCUCGAGUGGCGAACGGGUGAGUAACACGUGAGUAACCUGCCCUUGACUUUGGGAUAACUUCAGGAAACUGGGGCUAAUACCGGAUAGGAGCUCCUGCUGCAUGGUGGGGGUUGGAAAGUUUCGGCGGUUGGGGAUGGACUCGCGGCUUAUCAGCUUGUUGGUGGGGUAGUGGCUUACCAAGGCUUUGACGGGUAGCCGGCCUGAGAGGGUGACCGGCCACAUUGGGACUGAGAUACGGCCCAGACUCCUACGGGAGGCAGCAGUGGGGAAUAUUGCACAAUGGGCGGAAACCUGAUGCAGCAACGCCGCGUGCGGGAUGACGGCCUUCGGGUUGUAAACCGCUUUCGCCUGUGACGAAGCGUGAGUGACGGUAAUGGGUAAAGAAGCACCGGCUAACUACGUG